GACGAACGCUGGCGGCGUGCCUAAUACAUGCAAGUCGAGCGGACGAAUCGAAAGCUUGCUUUUGAUUCGUUAGCGGCGGACGGGUGAGUAACACGUGGGCAACCUGCCCUGUAGACUGGGAUAACACCGAGAAAUCGGUGCUAAUACCGGAUAACACGAAAUGUCGCAUGACGUUUCGUUGAAAGACGGCGCUAGCUGUCGCUACAGGAUGGGCCCGCGGCGCAUUAGCUAGUUGGUGAGGUAACGGCUCACCAAGGCGACGAUGCGUAGCCGACCUGAGAGGGUGAUCGGCCACACUGGGACUGAGACACGGCCCAGACUCCUACGGGAGGCAGCAGUAGGGAAUCUUCCGCAAUGGACGAAAGUCUGACGGAGCAACGCCGCGUGAGCGAAGAAGGCCUUCGGGUCGUAAAGCUCUGUUGUUAGGGAAGAACAAGUAACGCAGUAACUGGCGUUACCGUGACGGUACCUAACGAGAAAGCCACGGCUAACUACGUG
Molecule: ribosomal RNA, 498 nt
Filed under: uncultured bacterium
Lineage: Bacteria
Description: partial 16S ribosomal RNA
Rfam family: Bacterial small subunit ribosomal RNA
Source: RNAcentral